RNAcentral lists this transfer RNA (92 nucleotides) under Clostridium sp. Its description in RNAcentral is "tRNA-Ser". It matches the Rfam family "tRNA". Rfam says of the family: Transfer RNA (tRNA) molecules are approximately 80 nucleotides in length. Their secondary structure includes four short double-helical elements and three loops (D, anti-codon, and T loops). The record is from RNAcentral. Lineage: Bacteria; Bacillati; Bacillota; Clostridia; Eubacteriales; Clostridiaceae.
GGAGAAGUACCCAAGAGGUUGAAGGGUCCGCUCUCGAAAAGCGGUAGGUCGGUUAUACCGGCGCGAGGGUUCGAAUCCCUCUUUCUCCGCCA